RNAcentral lists this long non-coding RNA (269 nucleotides) under Musa acuminata (dwarf banana). Its description in RNAcentral is "long non-coding RNA (MACU_LNC011094)". The record is from RNAcentral. Lineage: Eukaryota; Viridiplantae; Streptophyta; Magnoliopsida; Zingiberales; Musaceae.
UUGCCCUUUAACUCUAAAUUUCUUCAUCACAUCAUGACUAGUAUACUACUUCCCAAACAAUUUCAUCAUGAUGAAAUUAGUCAAAUAGAGCUAAGCACUAUGUAUUGGUUAAUGACCGGCCAACAUAAUUAUUUUAGAUACUUAAUCCGGCAACAUAUGCAGGACAUAAUAGCUAAAGACACAAUGUUACCAUAUGGGGGGUUAGUCACUCGAUUAAUACUUGCCCAUAAUAUUUGUGUCUCACCCGAUGAAGAAAUAAUUCAAUUUGA